Molecule: long non-coding RNA, 3597 nt
Filed under: Takifugu rubripes (torafugu)
Lineage: Eukaryota; Metazoa; Chordata; Actinopteri; Tetraodontiformes; Tetraodontidae
Description: lncRNA (ENSTRUG00000032834.1)
Source: RNAcentral
AUGGGGAUCGGGAGGCAGCGUCCGCCCGUCCCAGGUCCAUCGGCGAGUCCCCGAACCAGACGCAGUCCCCCUGGACUGCCGGGAACUCGGAACACCGGUGAGUCCUCAAACGGCUGCAGUCCUCCUGGACCGGCGAGGACUCGGGAGUCCGGUGCGACACGCUCGCCUCACGAACGUGCCCCGAGACACUGGCGACUAGGAGGCAGCGUCUGCUCCUCCAAGGUCCAUCGGCGAGUUCCCAAACCAGACGCAGUCCCCCUGGACUGCCGGGAACUCGGAACACCGGUGAGUCCUCAAACGGCUGCAGUCCUUCUGGACCGGCGAGGACCCGGGAGUCCGGCGCGACACGCUCGCCUCACGAACGUGCCCCGAGACCCUGAGGGCAGAGACAGUCCUCCUAGACUGCAGGGGAGCAGGAGCGGUCCUCCAGGAGACAAGGAACAGGAACAGGAGAGGCCCUCCAGGAAAACCGGAAGCUCGGGGACAGGAGUGGCCCUCCAGGGCAACAGGAACAGGAGAGGCCCUCCAGGAAAACCGGAAGCUCGGGGACAGGAGUGGCCCUCCAGGGCAACAGGAACAGGAGCGGUCCUCCAGGGAAACCGGAAGCACGGGAAUAGGAGCGACCCUCCAAGGCAACAGGAACACAGGAACAGGGGCCAACACCAAGGCACCCAAACAAGCUCCCAACACGAACAGACACCACACACGAACAGACAGGCAGGCACAACCUGCUUAAAUAGGCAGCAAGAUGUAAAUUGCCUACAGGUGCGCCCACCUGCAGUGCCAGCUGCACCCAAUUGUGCUCAACACCGCACCCUGCAGGCCAAAGACAGACACAACCCAGAAAUCCCAACAGGGAGGGAUUAAUUAUCUAUCCCUACAAUUAGAAUCCUUAAUUAUAGAAAGAGGGAGGGUGAGACUUUGACUUUUAAAAUGUACUUUGUUUACAGCGCUCUGUUCACAUAAAACCAGUUAAAAGUUACCUUCACAAAAAACCUCAUGCCCCCAGUGCUGUUCAAAGGCUUCCAGGUUCUCAGUGGCUUUGUAGAAGCAGAACUCCAGAUUCUGGCGCACCCUCACUGGCUUCCACAAAGCCACCGCAUUACAUGCCGCUCCAUUUUUAAUUUUCUCCCUUCUAGACAAAAAUAAAUGGCAAGUUUAGCCUCACUUAUUAAAAAAUUUAAAACCUGGCAUUUCCCCCUUCCUGCCCUCUUGUGCCUUAGACCACAAACAAGAACAGCAGUGGAGAACACGACAUUAAAGAGCCUAAAGACAUCAGUUAAAACCCUAAAAAGACCCACCAGCCUACUGCACCCGGUAAAAACCUGAAAGACAUUCUUGUUAAAAUCACAGAAAGGACAGUUGUUUAAAAUGUUCGGGUUUAAAAUUGACAGGAAGGCACUGGUGGCGAUGGCUCCAUGUAAAAUCCUCCAUUGGAGGUCGCCAGUCCUCUUCUUGAUGGGGGGCUUGUAGAGGGUCCUCCACUGAGGACUCUGUCCCCCCCAGUCUGUCCUUCCACACUGUCACUUCUCUGUUUUUCAGUUUGUCUUUGUUGAAUGCCUUCACGAUGUUGCCGUAUAAAAUCCUCCUGUCCAUGCUGUGAAGGGAUCCUGAGCCAGAGCCAUCCAGGAGAGGACCACCGAGGUCCAUGAGGUCCGGAUGCAGGUGGAGUUCAGGAAAAGCGUCAGUGGGGUUGGUCUUAGCCUCUCCUCUCCCGUGAAGGAGGAGGAGACCCUUCUCUGUCGUAGACAGUCUGAGUUUCCAGAGGCCCAGGCUCCUCUGGAUCAGUCGGACCGACCGGACCCCCAGCGCCGAGCUCACAGCCUGGGCAUCGGUGAGCUCUGGUCCCGCUGCCGCCACCAGCCGCUCCAAUGUCACUAUCUUCCUUCGGAUCAGGGCCUCCUUCAGCCCAGGGGUGGCGCUGCUUCAGACAUCCAGUCUGCCGCCACAGACUAACGGCUCCUUUAAUAGCCAGUGCAGAGAGUCAGUCUGAACGAAGCUCUAUCUAAAAAGAGCACAGGAUUUAAAAACACCCAACACUGAGCAAAUGAUUUCAAAAAUAUUACACUGAAUAGUUUAUACAUCUAUGUUGCAUGCCAGCAUAAUUCUUCUCUCAGGCUGGGAUCAUUCUGUGUCUUUCAGGGAAGAGUUUUUAAGGCUAAUCUCAGAGGGAAAACCCUUUUAUUUUGUACAGCUAAUUAAUUCAUUGUAUCACUGUCCAAAGUAGCCAGAGAGGAUGAUUUGAAAGUCAAACCCACUCAGCUGCCUGAGGCUCUCCAAAGUGAGAGGAACCACAGUCAGUACAGCGGUGUGAGUGAAGACGUGUCACAAAAGGUGAAAAUCUACAUUUAUACCAGAGGACAGUUUGGAGCCAACAGACAGAAAAUGCAAAAAGUAUAAAUGUCAACAAUAAACUCAAAACAGACACACAAGUGUUGUAUAUUAUUCAAAUAUUUUCAGUUUUAUAUUGAUAAAGCAUGUGUCUGUGUAUGUGCAUGUGUGUGUGUGUGUGUGUGUGUGUGUGUGUGUGUGUGUGUGCAUGCCACAGUGGCAGGCAAGAGGAGGUGUUGAUAACUUAUUUGGCAUUUUGACAGUGAUAAAGGACAUUUGUUGCCGACAGCAACGCAGAAAAAUGCGACCAUGCCAACAUGUGUUCAACACUCUACACUGCGGCCAGACUUUUCCUUCCCUUUCCGCUCUCAGAAUGCUGGUCUACUUGUGAUCCCCAGAGUUUCUAGGGAUAGAAUGUGGGGCCGAGCAUUUAGCUACCAGGCCCCCCUGCUAUGGAACCAGCUCCCUGUCCAGGUAGGGGAGGCUGACUCCAUCGCUACUUUUAAGAUUAGGCUUAAAACCUACCUCUUUGAAAAAGCUUAUUGUUACUAAUUCUAUAGUUCCAGUUAUUAUCAUAGACAGACAAAUUAUCAUACUCAGGGGAUCGUCUAAUCAUUAGGUUAACAUCUUAGCUAUGCUCCUAUAGGCCAAGGCUGCCGGGGUCCAGAAACAUGAUCACCUGACAGGCCUCUGCCACCCCACUGGAUCAUGGUUUCCUCUUCCCUCCUCUCCUCUCCUGUCCUCCUCAUCAAGUAGACUAGUAAUGCUAUUUUCUGUGUAGUUUUUCUGCCUCUCCACCCCCCUUCUGUAUCCAUUUACAGGUAUCACCGCCUUCAGAGCUAUAUACUGACCUCCGACCCCGCUGACCCACUCAACCAGCAGCUUAUUCACUUGAAUUUAAUUCAAUAUAAUGCAUUUUUGUAUGUAUUUAUAUGCUCUAUGCCUCUCCUCUCCUCUCCUCUACCUCCCCUCCCCUUCCCUCUACCUCUCCCCUCCCCUCCUCUCCUCUCCUCUCCUCUACCCCUCUCCUCUCCUCUCCUACCUAUUCUAUCCUCUACCUGUCCUCCCCCUUCUCCUCUCUCUCUACCCAGCCGGCCAUCAGCAGGAGGGUCCUCCUACAUGAGCCUGGUCCUGCUCAAGGUUUCUUCCUGUUAAAGGGGAGUUUUUCCUUGCCACUGUUGCUUGUCUGGGGUUAGGCCCUGGGAUUCUGGAAAGCGCCUUGAAACAAUUCUGAUUGUAAAAGACGCUAUAUAAAUAAAGAUUGAU